UCGUUUUGCUCCUGUUUGUAUCCUGUGGUGUAUGAGGUACACACACUUGGCUUGUGCCUGUCUCGUGCAAGGCCUCUUUUAUCCAAAUUUGGGUGAAGCAAGCCUAUGGCUUCACCUAAUAUGGUCAGGCCUGGCUGCCAUCCUGAUUGGCUAUUCUGUCUCCAAAGGCCCAUUUGUCUCAGGCUGUAUUGAUAAAAAGAGAUGAGCAGAUAACACAAUGUGCACUGUUGUUGUAUUCAUGCCUGCUUGAUGCUGCCUACUGCUAUUGAUCUCUGCUUCAGUAGGGCUAUGCCUCACUGUCUUAUUGCAUCCUGCCUACACCUGCCAAGACGAGAAGCCCUGGAAGGGACACACAGAUCGUCCUGAGGGGCCAGGAUAAGGUCAGAGAUUGCCUGCCUCCUUUCCCCAGCAUCCUGUGAAGCCUGGGAAGACUCAGAAGCCUCAGCAGCUGACAAGGCAUCGACAGAAGUCCCUGAAAGUGUUUGAGAGCUGUCUGAAGCUGUGGCUAGCCCCGUGAGCUGGGGGCUAAUUUUUGUGCCACAUAUACAGGGCAGUUGGUGGAAUACAGGCAUGAAGGAUGUGUGGUUGGAGGGUAAAAAUGGGUAAGCUUGAAUUGAGUCCACAUGUACAGCUGGGACAAAGAAAUAGAAGUGGGGAGGCAACAAACCAGCAGCCUGUCAUAAGAAAGAAGACAAAAAAACAAGGAAUGGCAGAAAUCCCUCAGCUCCCCUCCCCCUAGACUAGUUUCAGGAAAUCUGAUGUUGGUGUGUUACUUGCCAGCACCCUUCCAGACAGACUUCAAACUCUCUCUCAGUCUCCUUCCUCUGAAAAGGCUGAUAACAUUAAAUUAUUAUCAGUUAUUCUUUCAGUACCUCAUGGUGCAAAAGUUCAGUGUCCUAACGCAGGAGGUCUUGCGUUGCUGAAGAGCAUUUGGGUGUCAGAAUGCCACUGUAUAGUGGAAUCAGGUGGGGGGAGGAGGUUUAGCAUUGUUUUUACAAUGUCUGAGAAAUGAGUGCUUUUCAGUACUAAUUAGUACUACAUAGUAAUAGUAGUUAGUAAUUAGUAAUACUUAGAAAAGGCAGAAGAACAGUCAGGCUGUGAAAUGAAGCACUCAGCUACCAACUGUCAUGUUUCAGAGAUACCUGGUGAUUUGAUUUGAUCCUGCUAGCCAUAUUAAUUAGGAUAUUUUGAAAACAAGUUUGAGUCAACCUUUAUUUAUGCUGACAUUUCUUUAAUGCAAAUAUUUGUGUGAAGCUGUUCCUUUCCACAGUGCUCACUACUAUAAACAGUCAUCACAACAGCAGCACUUACUAGGUGAUUUACCUUUAUUUUACAGGUGGGGAUAAACCUCUUCAUAGCCAAGUGGACAGCUCAUCUGACAAGGCACAUUUAGGAUUUGAGAUCUCUUGGUACCUUUUCCUUAAUCAAAUGACUGUUUAUUUUGAGACAGAGCAGCACAUAAUAUAUAUAGGGUGUAGAGGAAAUCCUGCCUCUACAAAACUGAGUAUCACCCAGGCAUUACAGUGCAGAUACACAUCCUUUAGGUCUAAGCUAUGCUUUUCAAACAAAUCAAAUUGCUCACCAACUGGCAAACUAACAAAUAUCAGCACUGAUCAAAAUGAAAUCCAGAUGUCCUUGAAAUCCAUGUAUCAUCCACUUCUUCCAGAUGUAAAAAAUCCAUGCACAGUCAUAAGGAACCUCAGUCCUGCAGUCAGUUUCCAUCAUGAUUCUCAAAAUCAGCAC
Pogoniulus pusillus (Red-fronted tinkerbird) is the source of this 1743-nucleotide long non-coding RNA. RefSeq lists it as uncharacterized. The transcript is spliced from 2 exons. The record is from RefSeq and is a predicted model, not a curated record. NCBI's taxonomy places the organism in Eukaryota, Metazoa, Chordata, Aves, Piciformes, Lybiidae.